RNA transcript from Sabethes cyaneus, 4886 nucleotides. It is a transcript of the gene named (E3-independent) E2 ubiquitin-conjugating enzyme UBE2O, with no coding region annotated. The record is from RefSeq and is a predicted model, not a curated record. NCBI's taxonomy places the organism in Eukaryota, Metazoa, Arthropoda, Insecta, Diptera, Culicidae. The transcript is spliced from 9 exons.
CUGAUAGUUUAGUUUUACAUCGUCAAAUCGUUACAUACAGAGUGUGUUUAUUCGGUAUUUCGGAUUUUUAUAGAGAUAAUUUUUUGCUUUUUGUGUACGAUGUAUAUAAACCAAUGAUGGCAUCAAACAAUUUCGCGAAAUUAAACAAAAGCUUACGAAACGUUUCUGCGAUUCAAAAUCAGGAUGAUAAUGCAUAUGAAAAUCAAUACUUUUAUGAAGACGAAAUUUUUUGCGUUGAUAACCGGGGCCGUGUUAAAUUCGGCCUAGUGCUGGAAAAUUUCGAGGUUAGCGAAGAGGAAGGAUUUGAGGAAGAUACGUUGAAACGAGGCGAAAUACGUGCUUGUUGGCAUCCUGAUGGUCUCGAAGAGAUUAUUGAACAAAAUAAGGUUGGAUUGGCCGACCGAACUCUCAUGCCAGGAGAUGUUGUGCGAAAGAUAAUUCCAGGAAAAGAUACUCAACGUGGCUACUGUCAUGAAAUAUUUGUUAGAGCUGAUGUUAAGAUUGUUGGAACAAAAUAUGUAGUUAAAAAUGUUUCUUCCGAUAGAUUGCGUCCGUUAAUGUCAAUGCCAAAGGACAAUGCUGUUUGUCUUGAUUCUUGGGUCGGAAGCACGAAAAAUAUCAAUGAAAAAUUAGUACUAAAAUCACAGUGCGGGUCACUCGUGGAAAUUCGUCCAGAUAUCGAAUAUUGUACACUUAAAGACAGUGAUACUCGGUCCCGAAGUGGUUAUUUUGCCGGUACUAUGUUUUAUCCAGGGCAAACCCUAAUUGGUCCAAUUAACGAUUUGGAAAAUGCGAAAUGGAUUAACACUUCUGCAGAAAUGAAAUUGAGUAGAAAGCACAAAAUGAUGGAUCGAAAAUUCACUGUUCAAUCGGUGGAAAUCGAAGGUAUUUGGGUUCAUUGGCAAUGCAAGGCAUCAUGUGAUGAUGUUGAAACUGAAAUGAAAGAAGGCGGUAUACAGCAGCCGCCAGACUAUGUGACUGGGGAAAAUUUGAAAAAAAUAAAAAAAUUAAACUUGUUCGAAUCGUGUAUGCUACAAAUUAACGAUAAAAACUAUUUAAAAAUCCAGUCAGGUGAUUCUUUUUGUAAGAAAAGCCAAUGGAGAAAGGAAGUUAAUUCAAAAUUUCUUAAAAUCAUCAAUAAAGAUGGAAUAAUACGGGGAUCUGGGCUAGACAACGUUUUCUGUGAUAUUGAAAAUCAUGAAACUACCGGUAAUAGUACGGUUGAGAGUAUCUCACGAGAUAAGCUAGAGUCAAAUAAUGCAAAGUUGUGCCUCACUGCCCAUAAGGAAAUAUCUCUGUCCAGUAAAUCGCGACGUAAUAUGAUAAGGUGUGGUAAUGGAAAAUCAACAUCAGCUUCUGCUACUUGUAAACUAGCUGAAAGUGAUGAAUGGCAAACGGAUUUAGAAGAUGAAGAAGACGAUGACGUCGAUGAUGGUGAGCCAACUGUUUCCGAUGGUGGAGGUAGUACUAUAUCCUCAUCUUGUUCAAGUACAACCACGUCGAAAAGUAGCCCUAAAAAGUCACCACUUCUAGCGAAAAAAAUACGAAAAUUAAAAAAAAGAUCCUCAUUUGCUAAUACAAGUGCGGAUAAACCACCUUCGGUUGGCGAUGAGCUGAUAACAGAAACCUUAGUCGUGUAUAGUACUGCAACGGUUGUGUGGCAAGAUGGCACAAUUGAAUUCGACAUUCCGUCCACAGAUCUAUGUCCAAUCCACCAUCUCGAUGAUCAUGAAUUUUUCCCCGGAGAUUUCGUGCUCUCUGGAAACACGGAUAUAUCACAUAACCCUUUAUUCCGAGAUUACGGUGUCAUCCAGAAUGUGGAUCAUCAUGGUCGCACGGCGAAAGUAAAGUGGUUCAGUACAUACACAUGCCUUAAUGAACCACAACCAAUAUAUAAUGGUGAAUCGGAGGUUAGCGUAUAUGACUUGAAAGAUCAUCCAGACUUUCAGUACCGACCAGGUACUAUUGUCAUCCGAGUGGCGAACUUUAUAGGUGAUGAUUCUAAAUGCAGUGCCGGACAGGUUAUUGAUAACUACCCAAACGGAAUGGUGAAAGUUUGGUGGGUUGAUGGUCACGUCAGCAUGUGUUGGCCGCAGGACAUCUUUGAAGUUGGACAGUAUGAUUCAGAUAACAACUUUUGGGGAAACGAAUCCGACAACAACUCAUGGGAAACUGAAGAUGAAAUAUCAGAGCUUGGAGGUUUGUCUCCCCAGCGAGUGUCAAAACCAAAACUCGCAGCUAACUUGGAACGAGCGCGAGUAGCUAUGGCUCGUUUAGAAGAGCUUUUUAUAAUUAAUCCUCAUCUUCAAAACCAAGAAAUAAUGAAAAAACUUCUGAUGGUAUAUAAAAAGUGUCGUUAUUUAGACAGACUGAUGGAUACUUCAUUUUUCCAUGAAGAUCAUUUCAUGGGUUUGGUAGAACGAGUUCGCAAAUCAAAUAAUCAAACAACGGCGGAACGAGCAUUGGAUCAGAAAAUCAGACUGUUUAAUCAGACUGGAUCAAAAACAGUAACUCCUACAGCGGAUAGUCCAGAUACGGAUCAACGACUCCCAUCGAAUAGUAAUCAGAGUCUCUCAUCCAGUGGCGGAACUAGUAUCGGAACAUCCUCAAAAAAAUGUAUUACACCAUUUGAUCAAUCAUAUAUGAGUAUUUCGCCAUCUUUCAAGUUCUCUAUAGGAAACAAUAUUUCGACAUCUUCAGAUAUUUCUAGUAUAGAAGAAAAUGCUACAGUGAUGACAAUUUCAAAACCAUCUAUAACAGGCAACGGCGUUGCAGACUCUGGAAAUUUUUCAAUUAAAAAUGUUAAAAAAUAUUGCCAGCAGAACAAUACUGUUGAGAAUGAUAAUAAUUUGUUACUAAACGCAGAGCUUGAUAAAGUGAACGAUCUUUACAUGAACAUUUGUGAAGAUAUGAAUAAUACUAACUCAGUUUUCAGUUUUCCGACACAAACAGAUAAUGUUUCUGCGAAACUCUGUUCACUUAUUAAAGCACAACUAGUGAAAGCAUUACAAGAGAUAAAUCAGCGAUUUGGUCAGGUGGAUUUGUUCAAAGAAAUCGUUAUUGAAGAAAUGCUCCUAACAACUACACCAUUUGGAUCAUGUCCGCUCUCUUCUACUCCUUCCCAACCGGAAACAAACGUUGAUAACCUGAGUCCAAGUCGAAACGAACACGACACAAUAGACGGGUCUAAUACUACACCAGACUACAACUACGAAUUUAAUUUUGUUGAAAAUUUUCAUGUUCUGGAAACAGCGCCCAGUACUCACAAGUACCAUCUUACCGUAUUUCAGACUAGUAAUGCUCAAAGCUUCUACAAAGCUGUCCAGCGGGAACAUAAGUUGUUGAGAACUGCCCUACCAUCUGGUGUAUGGGUGCGAACGUUUGAGGAUCGUUUGGAUUUGCUUAGUGUAAUGAUUGAAGGUCCAAAGAAAACUCCUUACGAAGGUGGUCUGUUCUUAUUUGAUAUUCAACUUGGACAGGAUUAUCCUAGCGCGCCUCCGUUGUGUCAUUACAUAAGCUAUUGUUCGGACCGAUUAAAUCCAAACCUGUAUGAAGAUGGUAAAGUGUGUGUGUCGCUGUUGGGAACCUGGUCCGGUAGGGGAACUGAAAUGUGGGGACCAAACAGCACGCUUCUACAAGUAAUCGUUUCUAUACAAGGUUUAAUUUUGGUGGACGAACCAUAUUUCAACGAAGCUGGAUAUGAUAAGCAGAAAGGAUCCCAACAGGGAAAAGAAAACUCGCGCAUGUAUAACGAAAUGGUGAUAUUGAAGUUGGUUCAAUCGAUGUCAAAAAUGAUUGCGAAUCCACCAGAGAUUUUUAGCGCGCAAAUAAUAGCACAUUUUCGCGAACAUGGUUUAGCUAUGCACAAUAGAAUCAAAAGUUGGAUGGACGUGUCGAUCGAAGCUAACCGAAAUGUGAACGUUAAUAGCGAAUCAUCCGCUUCAACUUUGCCUGACAGUGCUAGUAUUGUGGAUAGUGUCAAUGUAUCUAUCCUUGCAACCAGCUUACCGGACUUCCCAUUGAUUCCAGCUAGUCGUGGAUUUUGUCUCACCUUAAUUGGUUUACUAAAAAAAUUCCAGGAGAUAUUAAAUUCAAUCAGCAGUGAAUAAUCUCGAGCUGUGCCCAUUAUCCCACCGCGCCUAUACGCAGUAUAAAUAAUCACUUUUAUUUAAUAUUCACGGAUCGGCAGUACAAUCUGAUGUAUUUAAUACCAAAAGGCCUAUCUACGAGUUACAUGGUGAUUUAAUGUAAAAUCACACGUGAAAAAGGUUGCAUUUUUGUUUCAAUCAAUAGCAAAAUACCAAAGAAAAAUUACAAAAUAACGUUUGCUCAAUUGUGCAAAAUUAGAUACGUUUUCAAUGUUAACAGAAGGUCCUAUAGCAGCCCAAUUAUUGUUAUAAUAAUUUAUGUCCUGAGCUGCCUACAAUCGUAAAUAAACCGUACGUAGCCCUAGAGAAGCAUUAAAGUUUACAAUUUCUUGAGAUUAUGAAUAAUAGUUAUAAGCGUAUAAGUCUAUCUCUAACCGUUUAAAAUUUUUUAUAUUUUGCUAAACGAAAUUGACUGCAGAAGGGUUAAUGGUAUAAGAUUGUAAGUUGUCAUAGCAUGGGAGAAGGAAUGUUAGUGAGAAAGGUUACCUUAAAUGCUAAAGUUCUCUGUUAUCUACUGCUUAAAUUAAACAAUGACUUAGUAACAAUAAAAACUAAUAAAAUGCACAAUGACAAAGUCUGUGUUCUAACAACGAUGCAACUGAGAACUAUUUCGGCACAGACAUUUAAUUAUUUUUAGUAGCGAUUAACAAAUAAUAGCUUGUUUAUUCAAUCCGGGUUGAAACUAAAUGAAUUUUUUGUGUUCAUUUGCUCGUAACUGAUAGAUAAAAUUCUUCCAGU